GUGAGGUAACGGCUCACCAAGGCAUCGACGGGUAGCUGGUCUGAGAGGAUGAUCAGCCACACUGGGACUGAGACACGGCCCAGACUCCUACGGGAGGCAGCAGUGGGGAAUAUUGCACAAUGGGCGCAAGCCUGAUGCAGCAACGCCGCGUGCGGGGAGAAGGCCUUAGGGUUGUAAACCGCUUUCAGCAGGGAAGAAACUGACGGUACCUGCAGAAGAAGGUGCGGCCAACUACGUGCCAGCAGCCGCGGUGACACGUAGGCACCAAGCGUUGUCCGGAUUUAUUGGGCGUAAAGAGCUCGUAGGCGGUUCCGUAAGUCGGGUGUGAAAACUCUGGGCUCAACCCAGAGAGGCCACCCGAUACUGCGGUGACUCGAGUACGGUAGGGGAGCGGGGAAUUCCUGGUGUAGCGGUGAAAUGCGCAGAUAUCAGGAGGAACACCAGUGGCGAAGGCGCCGCUCUGGGCCGUAACUGACGCUGAGGAGCGAAAGCGUGGGUAGCAAACAGGAUUAGAUACCCUGGUAGUCCACGCCGUAAACGCUGGGCACUAGGUGUGGGUCUCAACCAACGAGAUCCGCGCCGUCGCUAACGCAUUAAGUG
Molecule: ribosomal RNA, 600 nt
Filed under: uncultured Actinobacteridae bacterium
Lineage: Bacteria; Bacillati; Actinomycetota; Actinomycetes
Description: bacterial SSU rRNA
Rfam family: Bacterial small subunit ribosomal RNA
Source: RNAcentral